CCUACGGGCGGCAGCAGUGAGGAAUAUUGGUCAAUGGACGAGAGUCUGAACCAGCCAAGUAGCGUGAAGGAUGACUGCCCUAUGGGUUGUAAACUUCUUUUAUAUGGGAAUAAAAUGUUCCACGUGUGGGAUUUUGUAUGUACCAUAUGAAUAAGGAUCGGCUAACUCCGUGCCAGCAGCCGCGGUAAUACGGAGGAUCCGAGCGUUAUCCGGAUUUAUUGGGUUUAAAGGGAGCGUAGGUGGAUUGUUAAGUCAGUUGUGAAAGUUUGCGGCUCAACCGUAAAAUUGCAGUUGAAACUGGCAGUCUUGAGUACAGUAGAGGUGGGCGGAAUUUGUGGUGUAGCGGUGAAAUGCUUAGAUAUCACGAAGAACUCCGAUUGCGAAGGCAGUUCACUGGACUGCAACUGACACUGAGGCUCGAAAGUGUGGGUAUCAAACAGGAUUAGAUACCCCUGUAGUC
RNAcentral lists this ribosomal RNA (460 nucleotides) under uncultured bacterium. Its description in RNAcentral is "partial 16S ribosomal RNA". It matches the Rfam family "Bacterial small subunit ribosomal RNA", at positions 338 to 795 of the family's 1533-position model. The record is from RNAcentral.